This 66-nucleotide transfer RNA is filed under the name Sigmella schenklingi biguttata. RNAcentral's name for it is "tRNA-Met". Lineage: Eukaryota; Metazoa; Arthropoda; Insecta; Blattodea; Blattellidae. The record is from RNAcentral.
AGAAAAGUAAGCUAAAUUCAAGCUAAUGGGUUCAUACCCCACUUAUAGAGAAAUCUCUCUUUUCUA